UGGGGAAUCUUGGACAAUGGGGGCAACCCUGAUCCAGCCAUGCCGCGUGGAGGACGAAGGCCUUAGGGUCGUAAACUCCUGUCAGUAGGGACGAAAAAGUAGGGUCGAACAGGCCCUGCCAUUGACGGUACCUGCAGAGGAAGCCCCGGCUAACUCCGUGCCAGCAGCCGCGGUAAUACGGAGGGGGUUAGCGUUGUUCGGAAUUACUGGGCGUAAAGCGCACGUAGGCGGACCAGAAAGUUGGGGUGAAAUCCCGGGGCUCAACCCGGAACUGCCUCCAAAACUAUUGGGUCUAGAGUUCGAGAGAGGUGAGUGGAAUUCCAAGUGUAGAGGUGAAAAUUCGUAGAUAUUUGGAGGAACACCAGUGGCGAAGGCGGCUCACUGGCUCGAUACUGACGCUGAGGUGCGAAAGUAGUGGGGAGCAAACAGGAUUAGAUACCCUGGUAGUCCACACGUAAAACGAUGAAUGCCAGUCGUCGGGUAGCAUG
This 488-nucleotide ribosomal RNA is filed under the name uncultured bacterium. RNAcentral's name for it is "bacterial SSU rRNA". It matches the Rfam family "Bacterial small subunit ribosomal RNA", at positions 355 to 834 of the family's 1533-position model. The record is from RNAcentral.